Molecule: ribosomal RNA, 253 nt
Filed under: uncultured bacterium
Lineage: Bacteria
Description: partial 16S ribosomal RNA
Rfam family: Bacterial small subunit ribosomal RNA
Source: RNAcentral
UACGUAGGGUGCAAGCGUUGUCCGGAAUUAUUGGGCGUAAAGAGCUCGUAGGCGGUUCGUCGCGUCGGCUGUGAAAUCCCGAGGCUCAACCUCGGGUCUGCAGUCGAUACGGGCGGACUGGAGUACUGCAGGGGAGACUGGAAUUCCUGGUGUAGCGGUGAAAUGCGCAGAUAUCAGGAGGAACACCGGUGGCGAAGGCGGGUCUCUGGGCAGUAACUGACGCUGAGGAGCGAAAGCGUGGGGAGCGAACAGG